CGGUGCCGCGCAAACUUAGCUAAACAACGCCAUAAUUGCCUUCAUUACUUAAAUUACUGAAAUUAUUUAUUCAAAAAGCUGGCAACAUUUAGGCGCACGGAGCUCCGCCCCCGGCGUGUUUGCGGACCAAUAGGGCGGAGGCGCAGCGCUGAGGGAGGGGCGCCCGGCAAUAUGGCGGACAGAGCGGCAACCUUCUUGAGGCGAACGCGUCGGGAACUCGCCGACGCCGACGCUGCGGAGUGCUGCGAGUACGUCUCACUGAGUCGACUACACGUGUUUAAUAGUGUUUAAUGAAGCGGUACCGCUCGAUUAAUUGGUGCCGGAGUUAAGAUUCAUCGAGAGAAAGCGUAAUGUCAUUUAUAAUCUGCUCUGAUGUUGUUCCGACGGGAACUUCCCGACGGCGGAAAACGAAACAAAAUAUCUUUAUAAAUUGAUAACGUAAUACAAACGACGAAACGACUCUACAAGUGAAAUAAAAUCAAUGGAAAAAGUCAAAUAAAAAUGAGAAACCAUCAAGACAAUUGUAUCAAUUUUAAUUAGUUGUAGUUGCUUCUCUAGCAUAGAUUGGUGAUCCAGCAUAGAAAAAUUGACUAUAGAAUAUAUGAACAUAUAACAUAAA
Long non-coding RNA from Melitaea cinxia (Glanville fritillary), 619 nucleotides. RefSeq lists it as uncharacterized. Lineage: Eukaryota; Metazoa; Arthropoda; Insecta; Lepidoptera; Nymphalidae. The transcript is spliced from 2 exons. The record is from RefSeq and is a predicted model, not a curated record.